Dreissena polymorpha is the source of this 4975-nucleotide RNA transcript. It is a transcript of the gene named BUB3-interacting and GLEBS motif-containing protein ZNF207-like, with no coding region annotated. The transcript has 3 exons. NCBI's taxonomy places the organism in Eukaryota, Metazoa, Mollusca, Bivalvia, Myida, Dreissenidae. The record is from RefSeq and is a predicted model, not a curated record.
ACAUCCCGGUUAUCGCAUAAUUCAGCUGUAGACUUGGAAGAACCUUGUAAACUUCGAAAAAAGUUCAAUUGGAAGUAGACUAUAAUUAUUGUUGGAUUCUAACCUGCAUCCGAAAGAAUCCGAAUAACUUCACAUACGGGCAUUUCACACGCCAUUUUGGAAGUACACCUCGACGGCGACGCGCAAUAAAUUAUAUAAAAAGCGAGAAAGCUGGUAAAUAGCAAUGGGACGAAAAAAGAAGAAGCAAUUAAAGCCCUGGUGCUGGAUGAAGAAUGUCAUUAUCCGUUACGUGUACGUUGUUGGUAUGCACCACGGAGGGAAAAGAGAAUUAGAGGUCUGGGCGCUAUAUUUUUGCAAGUCGGAGCCAAACAACCCAUGGGAUCCGAAUGCUGUAGCGGUCUUUGAUGACAGAGACCUAACCCGGCGUGUGUGCUAUCUUCGCCGUGAAGACGCUCGAAAACUCGGGGAAGUUUUAGGCUUUGCACAGGGCACGUGUUACCUGAGACCCAAAAUGAAGGCGGAAAAGUUUUCAAGAUGUAAAGGCCCGAUGCAAAACUGUAGCAUUGGGUUUAAAUGUCAAGAAGAUGUCACGCGAUUGAAGCCAGUGCUGAAUAGCACCUACAUUCAUAAAAUAUACUGACAAUUUAAGACAACAACGUGCUAGAUUUAACCCUUUAUUUAUUAUGCCCCCCUUCGAAGAAGAGGGGGUAUAUUGUUUUGCUGGAUGUCGGUCGGUCGGUUGGUCUGUCGGCCUAUCUGACUGUCGGUAGACUAGUUCGUUUCCGAUCAAUAACUUGUGAACGAAUCAACUGAUUGGCUUGAAACUUCCCGUUUGCAUUGAUAUGGGCAUUAGAUGACCCAUAUUGAUAUUGGGGUCAAAUGUAACUAUCACAAUAAGUGUGAAAAUCAAGGCCCUGUUUGGGGGCAUAUGUCUCCGACCGCGGAACUCUUGUUUAUUUUUAUUUUAUAUUUAAAAAGUUUGAGUUUGUUGAAAGUUCAAAAUAAAAUAAAUCGAACCUUUUUUCUCUGUUUGUUUCUACUAAUUAAACUAUAUUACUUUACAGUGUCAAAUAACAAAUGGUCACAGCCGGACAUGGACGACGCUGUAAUGGCCGUCAACGGAGGGAUGUCAGUCCGCGGUGCUGCUGAACAAUUCAAUGUUCCAAAGUCGACGUUGUCAGACAGAUUAACUGGAAAGGUCAAGGUCGGCAGUGUUUGGGGGAAGAAGCCUCGUCUAUCUACGGUCGAUGAAGGCGCCCUGAUAAGUGCUGCUACAGCUCGUGCUGAUAAGGGACUGGGAUUCUCUAAGAGCAAUUUCAUGAGAUUCGUCGGCGUCUUUGCAGACGAAAAUGGAAAGUCCUUCAAAAACGGGCGACCAUCCGACAUGUGGUGGAGGAAUCUGAAGGCACGGCAUCCAAACUUCUCACUUAGAUGUCCAGAGCCUACAGCAGCAAACAGACAUGCUGCCAUGACAAGGAGCCGGAUUCACUCAUAUUUUCAAGACCUCAAAGGAGUCCUUGAAAAAUAUAAUUUUGACAAGACUCCGGAAAGGAUUUUGAAUAUGGACGAAACCGGCGUCCAGAUGUCUCACAAGCCCGUGAAAGUUAUUGCUUCUAAAGGCUCCCGCACUGUACACGGUAGAGCUAGCAUCUCUCGGGAAACGACAACCGUUAUAGCCUGUGGGAAUGCGUCCGGUCGUUGCAUACCACCGUACUUCAUUUUCCCUGGCAAGAAAAACAAAAAAGCUUAUCGGGUUUGACACCGAGUCCUGCAGAGAUCCGACUUCACCUCUCUACGGGGCGAAGUUUAGUGUCAGCGAGUCAGGAUGGACGAAGGAAGGAAUAGCCCAUCUUUGGUUUACCAACCACUUUCUUCCAAGCAUUGGACCAGUUCGCCCCCAACUUUUGAUCUUCGACGGACAUGGAUCUCACAACAACUUGGAAUUUCUCAAGCUAGCACGUCAAGAGAGCAUCAUCCUUGGGGAGCUGCCAAGCCAUACCAGCCACUGGACCCAGCCAUUUGAUAGGUCGGUUUUCAAGUCUCUCAAAAGCAGUUGGAAUGCCCAUGUCGACGAAUUUAUCAAAAUCACGGGUGUUUCUCUUGGAAAUUCAAGUUUUCUACGUGUGUUUGGUAAAGCAUGGGCAGCAUCUGUAACUCCAAGCAAUGUCAUUAGCGGGUUCCGAGCAACCGGUAUUCACCCGUUCAAUCCAAGCGCCAUUCCUGACAUCGCCUACCUACCAAGUACGGAACUUGCUGUAGAGACAACGGGAAAUUUCAACAUGACAGAGACCUCAAGUCCGCCUGGAACUAACGAGUCCGAGAUCAGUACUCUGCCUGUAACUAUCCAGGCUGUUACCUCAAGUCUGUCUGCAACCACUGAGAGUGAAACCUCCGAUAUUGUUCAGUCCGAAACCUCAAGUCUGCCUGUAAAUCUGGAGGCCCCUCGCAUUCCUUUUGACAUUCAUUCAUCCGUUGAUUGGAACACAAUGUUUGAUUUACUGCUUCCAGUGGGUGAAUCUGUAAUUGAUCUUCCUCUACUCAUCACACAUGAGGGCGCCCUAACACAGUUUACCAGCAGUGAUGUUUUAGAAGUGACCGACGGGUUAAAUGAAAGUUUAUCAGGAAGUGACUUACCAGUUGUCACUGAUCAAAAAGCUCUGGAGGUAAUUGAGUCCACACUUUCCCCAGAACUUUUAUUAAAAUACUACGCUGCCCUAAUGAGUGGUAAGGAUAUUGAUGACACUAUAUAUCAAACAUGGAAGACGUACAAAAGAAAAUGUUCAAAUCAGGGUACAUCGCCGAGAGAAAUUAUUGAAAAACACUUCCCUUUACCGAACAUUAAAACAAAAGCGACUUAAAGAAAAGCUGAAGGUAAUCGCUACUUCGUAAUUUCAGCGGAUGAAUUGUUUCAAGAGAAAUUGAAGAAGGAUGAAGAGAAGAAAAAAAUGGCAUUAGAAAAGGAAAUUCGAAAAGGUCGAACGAGAACAAAAGAAGCAAAUGAAACAAACACGAGAGAGUAAAAAAGCAAAACAGUAAACAGAAGACAUAUUGAUUUUAAUUUGAUUGCAUCGAAAGCUUCUGCCUUAUUGCGAUGCUCUCGACACCGUUUCCUGGGUAGAACCAGUGCUAUGUGUAUUUUGGAGAAAUCUCAAGAGUGUCCGUGACCUACUGUCGGAUAGCAGAAACCAUGCCCGCUACGCAACGGCAAGUCCAUGUAUACAUGAUUAUGUUACUCACCGUUUGUUAAUUGAUUGUGUCUGAUGCACCUUAAUUGAUACACGGUGUGUUUUUGAAAACAUAAUUAAAAUGAGUCCAGAAUAGUCCAAAUUUUCACCUUAAACAAAUGUAUUAUGCAUUCAUUUAGUCCAUGCAUUUAGUCAAUGAAUAAAAAUGACGUAACUUCAGCUUGUGACACUCAAGCAAAAUGCUACGGGCAUUCAUUAGCUCUUAAUUAACAGUGUCCGACUUAAAAUCAAGCGUGUCCGUCUCUUCAUCGAAAUUGUCCGUCUCACAGUGGAUGACGGGUAAGGCUAUUCAAACAAAGUUUUUUAUCAUACCUACCCUGAAAACCGGCUUUAAAGUGUUUUUCUAUGAAGCAGGAACAUUCCGCCGGGUACCAAAGCUUAGGAAACUCCGCUCCUGUUUCUAAAAAAAGCACAACUUGGAGAAGUGACGUAAGUGUGUCAGACUCUCGAUCACUUUACCCUAUAGUCUUAUUUAUAAGACGCGCAAAUAAUUUUAGAGAUACUUUUUAUAUGGGCUAAAUUCUUUGGAACGUCUUAUCGGGGAAAAGUCAAAAAUGUGUUGGAAACCAGAAAGUUGAAAUUUUCAUCAGUUUGGGUAAAACUGCAAAAUAACAUUACCAACUCAUUCAGUUUUAGUUCAGAAGUCCAUUUUUACCUCAAAUAUCAUCGAAGUUGGAAAGGCAUAAAUUCUUCAGUUAAUAAGAUAUUGUAAAAUUUUAAUUAUAUGUUAUCAAAAUAGUCGUUAUUUGCUAGUUAACGGCUUCUUUGAAAUAUAAGAAACACUAUUUACAUGCGAUUAUUUUUCCCAAUUGAGCCAGUUUUGCGAUUGAUUUUUUCCCAAAAUGGGGUUUUUCACGAGUUACGACGUGAAAUUCCCAAAAUUCCAUUGUGGCGUUUUCUCAAAAUGGAGCGGAAAAGGCCUGUAUACACAUGAAUCUGAUUAUACACAUAUCCACAAACAUAUAAAUCGAAUCAUGUUUGUCUGUUUCCAUUUUUAGAUUGAUAAUCUUGUUCGAUUUCUGUUUGCGAAUAAAUGAACUCCAAAUUAUGAACACUAAUUCUUUGACAUUCAUAACUUUCUAAUGAUAAUGUGUUCAUUGUAUUUAAAACGUAUUCUCCAUCGUUCAAUGACAAACACAUUUCAUUUAUCCAUGCUAAUUAUAUGAUGGCCAUUGUUAAUUUGAUUUUUAAUUGUCUUUUUCGCUGAGAAUGGUAAUUUCUUGUUAUUGUCUGCCAUCUUGGAAUAUUUGCGACAUGCGUGCAACGCAACGAAAAAUCGUAAAUGUCCGACUACUUUCUCGACUAUGUAAGACGCUCCAUUCACGUUUGGAGUCAUAUUCGGAUGCUGCAAUGUACUACUGACUUACGAAAGUGGGCAAAAAUGAACUUUUUAUGUUCGGAAAUAUCAUAAUCCGGUGACCACGAAAUAAUGUUGUUGUGAAAACUGCGAGUGGGUUACAAUUUUUUAAAGUGAAAAUAACCGGACAGUUAGUCUGACGAUCUUGCAUUUCACCAUCAGCUUUUUUAACUGUUCGUUUGCAAUGUCCAACGGUCUUUCGCCAUUUGUGAACAUUCCCUUAAUACAGAUCGUUCAAAUUAAGGAGUUUAACAUAUGUACUGAAAAUAAAUAAUAUUAUUUGCAUUUAUUAUUUGAAUCCUUCUAAAUGUUUGAAUUUACAAUGCUGUAUUUUUCUGCAAUGCAAUCUUAAGACUGUGUUUUCCUUAAUAGU